UUUCGCAAUGCCCCGAAAGGGUGACGAAGCGACGCCGCGUGAGUGAGGAAGGCCUUCGGGUUGUAAAGCUCUGUCAGGAGUUAAGAAAUAUAAGUGUGUUAAUACCACAUUUAUUUGACGAAGGCUCCAAAGGAAGCCACGGCUAACUCUGUGCCAGCAGCCGCGGUAAUACAGAGGUGGCAAGCGUUGUUCGGAAUUAUUGGGCGUAAAGAGCACGUAGGUGGGUUUGUAAGUCAGAUGUGAAAGCCUUCUGUUCAACGGAAGAAUUGCAUCUGAAACUGCGAGUCUUGAGUGUAGGAGGGGAGAAUGGAACUUCUGGUGGAGCGGUGAAAUGCGUAGAUAUCAGAAGGAACGCCGGCGGCGAAAGCGAUUCUCUGGCCUAUUACUGACACUCAGUGUGCGAAAGCUAGGGGAGCAAACGGGAUUAGAUACCCCGGUAGUCCUAGCUGUAAACGAUGGGCACUAAGUAGAGGGGUUUUA
This 480-nucleotide ribosomal RNA is filed under the name uncultured anaerobic ammonium-oxidizing bacterium. RNAcentral's name for it is "bacterial SSU rRNA". It matches the Rfam family "Bacterial small subunit ribosomal RNA", at positions 364 to 833 of the family's 1533-position model. The record is from RNAcentral.